GCCCGGGUGGCGGAAUUGGCAGACGCACCAGCUUGAGGUGCUGGCGAGUAACAUCGUGCAGGUUCGAGUCCUGUCCCGGGCA
RNAcentral lists this transfer RNA (82 nucleotides) under Phycisphaerae bacterium. RNAcentral describes it as "tRNA-Leu". It matches the Rfam family "tRNA". Rfam says of the family: Transfer RNA (tRNA) molecules are approximately 80 nucleotides in length. Their secondary structure includes four short double-helical elements and three loops (D, anti-codon, and T loops). Further hydrogen bonds mediate the characteristic L-shaped molecular structure. tRNAs have two regions of fundamental functional importance: the anti-codon, which is responsible for specific mRNA codon recognition, and the 3' end, to which the tRNAs corresponding amino acid is attached (by aminoacyl-tRNA synthetases). tRNAs cope with the degeneracy of the genetic code in two manners: having more than one tRNA (with a specific anti-codon) for a particular amino acid; and 'wobble' base-pairing, i.e. permitting non-standard base-pairing at the 3rd anti-codon position. The record is from RNAcentral. Lineage: Bacteria; Pseudomonadati; Planctomycetota; Phycisphaerae.